This 151-nucleotide unclassified non-coding RNA is filed under the name Eggplant mottled dwarf virus. Its description in RNAcentral is "Eggplant mottled dwarf nucleorhabdovirus trailer RNA". The record is from RNAcentral. Lineage: Riboviria; Orthornavirae; Negarnaviricota; Monjiviricetes; Mononegavirales; Rhabdoviridae.
UAAAUCUAAUGGGUUUAGUUUAAUUGAGACUCCCCAUCACGGUUUGUCCGAUGAGGACAUCUCUCCUGGUACUGAGUCUAUGGUCUGGGUCUUUAAAAGGUGCCUGCACCUAAUAUAUCCAUUAUGGUUGUAAUGCUUCGGUGGGUGUGUA